UUAAGCAUAUCAAUAAGCGGAGGAAAAGAAACCAACAGGGAUUGCCCUAGUAACGGCGAGUGAAGCGGCAAUAGCUCAAAUUUGAAAUCUGGCUCUUUCAGAGUCCGAGUUGUAAUUUGCAGAGGGCGCUUUGGCAUUGGCAGCGGUCCAAGUUCUUUGGAACAGGACGUCACAGAGGGUGAGAAUCCCGUACGUGGUCGCUAGCCUUUGCCGUGUAAAGCCCCUUCGACGAGUCGAGUUGUUUGGGAAUGCAGCUCUAAAUGGGAGGUAAAUUUCUUCUAAAGCUAAAUACUGGCCAGAGACCGAUAGCGCACAAGUAGAGUGAUCGAAAGAUGAAAAGCACUUUGGAAAGAGAGUCAAAUAGCACGUGAAAUUGUUGAAAGGGAAGCGCUUGCAGCCAGACUUGCCUGUAGUUGCUUAUCUGGACUUUUGUCCAGUGCACUCUUCUGCGGGCAGGCCAGCAUCAGUUUGGGCGGUUGGAUAAAGGUCUCUGUCAUGUACCUCUCUUCGGGGAGGCCUUAUAGGGGAGACGACAUGCAACCAGCCUGGACUGAGGUCCGCGCAUCUGCUAGGAUGCUGGCGUAAUGGCUGUAAGCGGCCCGUCUUGAAACACGGACCAAGGAGUCUAACAUCUAUGCGAGUGUUUGGGUGUCAAGCCCAGACGCGUAAUGAAAGUGAACGGAGGUGGGAACCCUUUGGGUGCACCAUCGACCGAUCCUGAUGUCUUCGGAAGGAUUUGAGUAAGAGCAUGGCUGUUGGGACCCGAAAGAUGGUGAACUAUGCUUGAAUAGGGUGAAGCCAGAGGAAACUCUGGUGGAGGCUCGCAGCGGUUCUGACGUGCAAAUCGAUCGUCAAAUUUGGGCAUAGGGGCGAAAGACUAAUCGAACUAUCUAGUAGCUGGUUCCUGCCGAAGU
This 914-nucleotide ribosomal RNA is filed under the name Coniothyrium concentricum. Its description in RNAcentral is "LSU rRNA". It matches the Rfam family "Eukaryotic large subunit ribosomal RNA", at positions 34 to 967 of the family's 3401-position model. The record is from RNAcentral. Lineage: Eukaryota; Fungi; Ascomycota; Dothideomycetes; Pleosporales; Coniothyriaceae.